Camelina sativa (false flax) is the source of this 783-nucleotide non-coding RNA. NCBI's taxonomy places the organism in Eukaryota, Viridiplantae, Streptophyta, Magnoliopsida, Brassicales, Brassicaceae. The record is from RefSeq and is a predicted model, not a curated record.
GAUUUUGGAGGAAGGAAGAUGCUUUAAUCGGUUGGUGAUGGUUUUGAUGGAUAGUUUUGUCUCCUCUGCGAUAUCUUCAGAUCAUGAGGCACCAGGUGGGAGGCUGACAUCAGUGUUCGUGGUUAUGCUGGUUGGAACUGGUCGUUUGCCUUGAAGGUCUUCCCAAAGUUUAUCUUGAACUUGAAGGAUGCCUUUGCUCUGUCGUCUUCGUCGGUUCCUCUUACCUCUUUGACGAAAGGUCCCCUCUUUCCCUUUUAUUUUAUUUUAGUGUUAUUAGAUCAGUUAAUGUCUCUCUUUGAUGCAGAUUACGAGGAACCAGGAUUGCUGUGUGGGAGGUUCGGAGAGAAAGAAAAAACAUUGUGGGAGUGCGUUUGAUUUCUGAGUUUAACUUUCAGAUCGUGAAGGCACCGGGAGGACUGAUAUGAUAAAUCUAACCUCUGGUCUGUCAUCUCUUUUUAAGAUAUUAUCUUGAAGGAUGUCUUUGAUCUGUCGUUGCUCCAUGUUGCCUCUUUGACAGUCUCCUCUUUCCCUUUGUUAUAUUCUUACUGAUCAGCUAAUGUUUUUCUUUGCUUGUGUUAGAUCGUGGAGGUUACGGACCUUGUUGGAGGGAAUGAUGGUUUGAGAGUAUAUAACUUCGAGUCUUCGAGUUUCUUGUUACUUCACAUCUAUACUAAUGUGUUUCUAGGGUUUGGUUUUAAAUAUUGCAUAGGUUGCUAAGGAGUGAGGAGUGAGUCUGAUCUGAGCUUUCGGUAUUGAUAAGAGGUGGGCGUUGAUUGAUUUAUU